Molecule: non-coding RNA, 77 nt
Organism: Potamilus streckersoni
Lineage: Eukaryota; Metazoa; Mollusca; Bivalvia; Unionida; Unionidae
Source: the annotation of a GenBank genome assembly
GACCACUCCGGUGGCCUAGUGUUGAAAGCGUCCGUUUCGGAUGCGGAAGGUUGCGGGUUCGAAUCCCGGUCGAGUCA